GCCUGGGUAGCUCAGUCGGUUGAGUGUCUGACUUUGGCUCAGGUAAUGACCUCACUGCUUGUGAGUUCGAGCCCUCCAUCAGGCU
Molecule: transfer RNA, 85 nt
Filed under: Felis catus (domestic cat)
Lineage: Eukaryota; Metazoa; Chordata; Mammalia; Carnivora; Felidae
Rfam family: tRNA
About the family: Transfer RNA (tRNA) molecules are approximately 80 nucleotides in length. Their secondary structure includes four short double-helical elements and three loops (D, anti-codon, and T loops).
Source: Rfam by way of RNAcentral